RNAcentral lists this ribosomal RNA (353 nucleotides) under uncultured bacterium. Its description in RNAcentral is "partial 16S ribosomal RNA". It matches the Rfam family "Bacterial small subunit ribosomal RNA", at positions 338 to 705 of the family's 1533-position model. The record is from RNAcentral.
GCUACGGGGUGCAGCAGUGGGGAAUAUUGGGCAAUGGAGGCAACUCUGACCCAGCAACGCCGCGUGAAUGAUGAAGGUCUUCGGAUUGUAAAGUUCUGUGAUGGGGGAUGAACACAAUGACGGUACCCCAAUAGCAAGCCACUGCUACGUCCGUGCCAGCAGCCGCGGUAAUACGUAGGUGGCAAGGGUUAUCCGGAUUGACUGGGCGUAAAGGGUGCGUGGGUGGUUUAGUAGGUUGGCGGUGUAAUUCAGUGGCUAAACCUCGGAUCUAGCGCCAAAACUAUUAGUCAAGAGUGCAGGGGGGGUAAGUGGAAGUCCUGGUGUAGCGGUGGAAUGUGUAGAUAUUAAGAGGA